AGCGAACGCUGGCGGCAGGCUUAACACAUGCAAGUCGAGCGCCCCGCAAGGGGAGCGGCCGACGGGUGAGUAACACGUGGGAACGUACCCUUUGGUUCGGAACAACCCAGGGAAACUUGGGCUAAUACCGGAUAAGUCCGCGAGGAGAAAGAUUUAUCGCCGAAGGAUCGGCCCGCGUCUGAUUAGCUAGUUGGUGUGGUAACGGCGCACCAAGGCGACGAUCAGUAGCUGGUCUGAGAGGAUGAUCAGCCACACUGGGACUGAGACACGGCCCAGACUCCUACGGGAGGCAGCAGUGGGGAAUAUUGGACAAUGGGGGCAACCCUGAUCCAGCCAUGCCGCGUGAGUGAUGAAGGCCCUAGGGUUGUAAAGCUCUUUCGGUGGGGAAGAUAAUGACGGUACCCACAGAAGAAGCCCCGGCUAACUUCGUG
RNAcentral lists this ribosomal RNA (431 nucleotides) under uncultured bacterium. RNAcentral describes it as "partial 16S ribosomal RNA". It matches the Rfam family "Bacterial small subunit ribosomal RNA", at positions 29 to 507 of the family's 1533-position model. The record is from RNAcentral.